RNAcentral lists this microRNA precursor (73 nucleotides) under Myotis lucifugus (little brown bat). Its description in RNAcentral is "mir-9193 microRNA precursor family". It matches the Rfam family "mir-9193 microRNA precursor family". Lineage: Eukaryota; Metazoa; Chordata; Mammalia; Chiroptera; Vespertilionidae. The record is from Rfam by way of RNAcentral.
CUCGGGGCAGUGGUUCCCUCAGCCUGGAUUGUAAGAGUGUGCAGGCCAGGCCGAGGGACCCCACUGGUGCACA